Molecule: ribosomal RNA, 1052 nt
Filed under: Salmonella enterica subsp. enterica serovar Litchfield
Lineage: Bacteria; Pseudomonadati; Pseudomonadota; Gammaproteobacteria; Enterobacterales; Enterobacteriaceae
Description: partial 23S ribosomal RNA
Rfam family: Bacterial large subunit ribosomal RNA
Source: RNAcentral
AUGCACCGAAGCUGCGGCAGCGAACGUAUCACUUAAAGCGAUUCAGCGGGUUACGAUUGACGGAGCGAAGCGACGUCAAAGCGUAUACAAAGUCGAGUCGGUUUAAGGAUACGUUCGUUGGGUAGGGGAGCGUUCUGUAAGCCUGUGAAGGUGGCCUGUGAGGGUUGCUGGAGGUAUCAGAAGUGCGAAUGCUGACAUAAGUAACGAUAAAGCGGGUGAAAAGCCCGCUCGCCGGAAGACCAAGGGUUCCUGUCCAACGUUAAUCGGGGCAGGGUGAGUCGACCCCUAAGGCGAGGCCGAAAGGCGUAGUCGAUGGGAAACGGGUUAAUAUUCCCGUACUUGGUGUUACUGCGAAGGGGGGACGGAGAAGGCUAUGUUGGCCGGGCGACGGUUGUCCCGGUUUAAGCGUGUAGGUGUGUGUUCCAGGUAAAUCCGGUUCACUUUAACACUGAGGCGUGAUGACGAGGCACUACGGUGCUGAAGCAACAAAUGCCCUGCUUCCAGGAAAAGCCUCUAAGCAUCAGGUAACAUCAAAUCGUACCCCAAACCGACACAGGUGGUCAGGUAGAGAAUACCAAGGCGCUUGAGAGAACUCGGGUGAAGGAACUAGGCAAAAUGGUGCCGUAACUUCGGGAGAAGGCACGCUGACACGUAGGUGAAGUGAUUUACUCACGGAGCUGAAGUCAGUCGAAGAUACCAGCUGGCUGCAACUGUUUAUUAAAAACACAGCACUGUGCAAACACGAAAGUGGACGUAUACGGUGUGACGCCUGCCCGGUGCCGGAAGGUUAAUUGAUGGGGUCAGCGCAAGCGAAGCUCCUGAUCGAAGCCCCGGUAAACGGCGGCCGUAACUAUAACGGUCCUAAGGUAGCGAAAUUCCUUGUCGGGUAAGUUCCGACCUGCACGAAUGGCGUAAUGAUGGCCAGGCUGUCUCCACCCGAGACUCAGUGAAAUUGAACUCGCUGUGAAGAUGCAGUGUACCCGCGGCAAGACGGAAAGACCCCGUGAACCUUUACUAUAGCUUGACACUGAACAUUGAGCCUUGAUGUGUAG